RNAcentral lists this long non-coding RNA (383 nucleotides) under Rosa chinensis. RNAcentral describes it as "sRNA RchiOBHm_Chr7g0237791". Lineage: Eukaryota; Viridiplantae; Streptophyta; Magnoliopsida; Rosales; Rosaceae. The record is from RNAcentral.
UUUAUUUUGAACAAUGAAGGACUUCAACAGGUCACCAAAGGUGACGAAAAGCAAGCAGAAGAUCAGGAGAUACAGCUAUGAAAGUUAAUAUUCCAGAUAUAUGUUCUGUUACAGUUUGCCACCAGAUAUGAAAUCAAUAAAAUUUAUGGGGUACCAAAUUUCUUGCCGCAGUUUAUCGACCAAAAGCAGGGACAAAGAAGAAUGAAAAUCCUGAAAAAGCUUGCAUUGAGGUUAUUUGGAAGCCUAAAACAAGCCAGAGUGGAAAAACAUAAAGGGAAUAUGACAUGAUAUUGAAAAGGACCUUGCAAAGCAUCUGUAUAUAGACAUUGGACUGUGUUACUUAGAAGGUAUGAAUUGCCAAGACGUGGAACUCUGUUUUAGUU